UCAGGCCUAACACAUGCAAGUCGAACGGCAGCACGAGAGCAAUCCUGGUGGCGAGUGGCGAACGGGUGAGUAAUACAUCGGAACGUGCCCAAUCGCGGGGGAUAACGUAGCGAAAGCUACGCUAAUACCGCAUACGAUCUACGGAUGAAAGCGGGGGAUCGCAAGACCUCGCGCGAAUGGAGCGGCCGAUGGCAGAUUAGGUAGUUGGUGGGGUAAAGGCUCACCAAGCCAACGAUCUGUAGCUGGUCUGAGAGGACGACCAGCCACACUGGAACUGAGACACGGUCCAGACUCCUACGGGAGGCAGCAGUGGGGAAUUUUGGACAAUGGGCGCAAGCCUGAUCCAGCAAUGCCGCGUGCAGGAUGAAGGCCUUCGGGUUGUAAACUGCUAUUGUACGGAACGAAACGGCGAGCUCUAAUACAGUUGCUAAUGAC
This 435-nucleotide ribosomal RNA is filed under the name uncultured bacterium. Its description in RNAcentral is "bacterial SSU rRNA". It matches the Rfam family "Bacterial small subunit ribosomal RNA", at positions 42 to 473 of the family's 1533-position model. The record is from RNAcentral.